RNAcentral lists this transfer RNA (67 nucleotides) under Lamellodiscus spari. RNAcentral describes it as "tRNA-Pro". The record is from RNAcentral. Lineage: Eukaryota; Metazoa; Platyhelminthes; Monogenea; Dactylogyridea; Diplectanidae.
CAGUUGGUAGUUUAUAAAAAAUUUUAUUUUUGGGGAAUAAGGAUCUACGGUAUUUGUUGCUAACUGA